Molecule: ribosomal RNA, 255 nt
Filed under: uncultured bacterium
Lineage: Bacteria
Description: partial 16S ribosomal RNA
Rfam family: Bacterial small subunit ribosomal RNA
Source: RNAcentral
UACGUAGGGCGCAAGCGUUUGUCCGGAAUUAUUGGGCGUAAAGAGCUCGUAGACGGCUUGUCACGUCGGGUGUGAAAGCCCGGGGCUUAACCCCGGGUCUGCAUUCGAUACGGGCUAGCUAGAGUGUGGUAGGGGGAGAUCGGAAUUCCUGGUGUAGCGGUGAAAUGCGCAGAUAUCAGGAGGAACACCGGUGGCGAAGGCGGAUCUCUGGGCCAUUACUGACGCUGAGGAGCGAAAGCGUGGGGAGCGAACAGG